GAAAUUCCCUUCGGGCUUUCUGCAAGGUGCUGCAUGGUUGUCGUCAGCUCGUGCCGUGAGGUGCCGGGUUAAGUCCCAUAACGAGCGCAACCCUUAUCGUUAGUUGCCAGCUGGUAAAGCAGGGGACUCUAGCGAAACUGCCACCGUAAGGUGAGAGGAAGGUGGGAUGACGUCAAAUCAGCACGGCCCUUAUGUCCAGGGCUACACACGUGUUACAAUGGCCGGCACAGAGGGCAGCUACCUGGUGACAGGAUGCUAAUCUCGAAAACCGGUCUCAGUUCGGAUCGAAGUCUGCAACUCGACUUCGUGAAGCUGGAUUCGCUAGUAAUCGCGCAUCAGCCAUGGCGCGGUGAAUACGUUCCCGGGCCUU
RNAcentral lists this ribosomal RNA (370 nucleotides) under uncultured Sphingobacteriales bacterium. Its description in RNAcentral is "bacterial SSU rRNA". It matches the Rfam family "Bacterial small subunit ribosomal RNA", at positions 1010 to 1382 of the family's 1533-position model. Lineage: Bacteria; Pseudomonadati; Bacteroidota; Sphingobacteriia; Sphingobacteriales. The record is from RNAcentral.